RNAcentral lists this ribosomal RNA (408 nucleotides) under Otostigmus aculeatus. RNAcentral's name for it is "partial small subunit ribosomal RNA". It matches the Rfam family "Bacterial large subunit ribosomal RNA", at positions 1819 to 2524 of the family's 2925-position model. The record is from RNAcentral. Lineage: Eukaryota; Metazoa; Arthropoda; Chilopoda; Scolopendromorpha; Scolopendridae.
GUCUUUUUGAGUUUAUAAAAAGUCUGGUCUGCCCGAUGUAAUAUGAAUGGCCGCGGUAUUUUGACCGUGCUAAGGUAGCAUAAUGAAUAGUCUAUUAAUUGUGGUCUGGAAUGAAGGAUUUGACGAGGUAUUGCUUUCUUAAAUUUAUAGUUGAAUUUUAAUUAUUAGUUAAAAUGCUAAUGUGUCUAAGAAGGACGAGAAGACCCUAUAGAGCUUUACAUAAGAUUUUAAAUUAGUGGAAUCAAUUAAAUAAUAUGUUUUGUUGGGGCGACAUUAAAUAUAAAACAUUUAGAAUAUAGACUUUAUGAAAGGUGUAAAGAUCCAAUAAUAUUGAUGAAAGUCUAAGUUACCUUAGGGAUAACAGCGUAAUUUCACUUAAGAGUUCUUAUCGACAGUGAAGAUUGCGAC